UACGGAAGGCAGCAGUGGGGAAUAUUGCACAAUGGGCGAAAGCCUGAUGCAGCUAUGCCGCGUGUAUGAAGAAGGCCCUAGGGUUGUAAAGUACUUUCAUCGGGGAGGAAAAAACAAAACUAAUAAUUUUAUUUCUUGACGUUACCCGAAAAAGAAGCACCGGCUAACUCCGUGCCAGCAGCCGCGGUAAUACGGAGGGUGCUAGCGUUAAUCAGAAUUACUGGGCGUAAAGAGCACGUAGGUGGUUUUUUUAAGUCAGAUGUGAAAUCCCUGGGCUUAACCUGGAACUGCAUUUUGAAACUGAAAUACUAGAGUAUCGUAGAGGGAGGUAGAAUUCUAGGUGUAGCGGUGAAAUGCGUAGAUAUCUGGAGGAAUACCUGUGGCGAAAGCGGCCUCCUAAACGAAUACUGACACUGAGGUGCGAAAGCGUGGGGAGCAAACAGGGAUUAGAUACC
RNAcentral lists this ribosomal RNA (455 nucleotides) under uncultured bacterium. RNAcentral's name for it is "bacterial SSU rRNA". It matches the Rfam family "Bacterial small subunit ribosomal RNA", at positions 340 to 786 of the family's 1533-position model. The record is from RNAcentral.